Molecule: RNA transcript, 5619 nt
Organism: Conger conger (European conger)
Lineage: Eukaryota; Metazoa; Chordata; Actinopteri; Anguilliformes; Congridae
Gene: kcnc2
Gene name: potassium voltage-gated channel, Shaw-related subfamily, member 2
Exons: 5
Source: RefSeq, a predicted model, not a curated record
CAUGCCAGUGAGCAAGGAGAGAGAGAAUGAAGGGUGUGCCCUUGACGCUUUUUCUGGGAAAUAAUAAGCACAUUUCGAGAAACAGAAUGAAUCAGAUUAGUUUUAUAUUCAAAGGCUGGUGAUGUUGAAAGCCCAAGGGUACGAAGUCGAAAGUGUUUGAACAGAGAUGUCAUUCCAUUCGCGUUCACCUGCCUGGAUGGUCAGUGCUGAAGCAAACGGACUCAUGAAUGAAACCAGCGCUGCACGUUGACAAGGAGCAUAACACUGGGAUCACCGGCUGUAGGUGAAAUAAGACGAAGCACGACAAUCGGCAAGCUUUUGUUAGUAUAAUUUUUUAUAACCUUCAGCGAUGCAUUGGCCAAGCAAUAGCAACACGCCGAGAGAACGAGGCUUCCCGUUUCAAGUGAUCCUCCCUUCUCGGUUUCUAAAGGCUUUUUUGGAUUGGUAGGCUAACCUUGCCGAGCUGAGUGGGCAUCGCGCUUGUCCUUAAUUUUAAAAUAUAAAAUAAUCUCUUUUUUUAGCGAGUCAUGUCUUACCCAGAGCGAUGGGCAAGAUCGAUGACAAUGAGAGGAUAAUCCUCAACGUUGGAGGAACCAGGCACGAGACGUACCGGACCACACUGAAGACCUUGCCGGGCACACGGUUAGCUCUCCUGGCCUCCGAGGCUGACACGGAGUCCGUGCUGGAUCAACUGCAACAAGUCCCUGGCUUUCUCGAAUACAACCCUAAGAACAACGAAUACUUUUUCGACCGCCACCCCGGUGUUUUCGCUUAUGUUCUCAACUACUACCGGACCGGGAAACUUCACUGCCCGGCAGAUGUCUGUGGUCCGCUCUUCGAAGAAGAGUUGUCGUUCUGGGGCAUCGAUGAGACGGACGUGGAGCCCUGCUGCUGGAUGACCUACCGGCAGCACCGGGACGCGGAAGAAGCGCUCGAUGUGUUCGAAUUGAAUGUGGACAAUGGAGACGAAGAAGAGGAGAUAAAUAAAAGGUUGGGCAUUGAGGACGUGGUGUCAGCCAACGGCAAUGUCAGCCGCUGGAAAAAGUGGCAACCGGUGAUUUGGAAUCUGUUUGAGGAUCCCUAUUCAUCCAGAGCCGCAAGGUUUGUGGCCUUUGCCUCCCUGUUCUUCAUCCUCGUCUCCAUCACCACCUUCUGUCUGGAGACCCAUGAGGCCUUCAACACCAUCAUCAACAAGACCGACACCACCCACAACGGCAGCCUGGGCCAGCAGGUCGCAGUAGACCCCAGUCUCCAGUACGAGAUCGAGACGGACCCGGCGCUGACCUACGUGGAGGGCGUCUGCGUCUUCUGGUUCACCAUCGAGUUCCUGGUGCGGGUGACCUUCAGCCCGGACAAGCUGGAGUUCGUGAAGAGUGUGCUUAACAUCAUCGACUUUGUGGCCAUCCUGCCCUUCUACCUGGAGGUGGGGCUGAGCGGCCUCUCCUCCAAGGCCGCCAAGGACGUGCUGGGCUUCCUGCGCGUGGUCCGCUUCGUGCGGAUCCUGCGCAUCUUCAAGCUCACCCGCCAUUUUGUAGGGCUCCGCGUCCUGGGCCACACGCUCCGCGCCAGCAUCAACGAGUUCCUCCUCCUCAUCAUCUUCCUCGCCCUGGGCGUUCUCAUCUUCGCCACCAUGAUCUACUACGCCGAGCGCGUGGGCGCCAGCCCCACCGACCCCACCGCCAGCAAACACACCGACUUCAAGAACAUCCCCAUCGGUUUCUGGUGGGCGGUGGUCACCAUGACCACCCUGGGCUACGGCGACAUGUUCCCGAAGACCUGGACGGGCAUGUUGGUGGGCGCCCUGUGCGCCCUGGCCGGGGUCCUGACCAUCGCCAUGCCGGUGCCCGUCAUCGUCAACAACUUCGGGAUGUACUACUCGCUGGCCAUGGCCAAGCAGAAGCUGCCCAAGAAGAGGAAGAAGCACAUCCCUCAGGGAGCGCAGGCCGGCUCGCCCAUCUACAGCCACGCCAAGCUCAACCUCACCUGCAACAGCACCCAGGCGGACCCCUGCCAUGGCAACCGGGCCAGCAGGGUGCUGGAGCGCAAACGAUCCGUGCUCUCGGGCGACUGCAGCGGAGGAAGUGACCUCACCCUCUCCCCGGAGGAGAGCCGGCCGAUGCGGCGGUCCAGCACGCGGGAUGGGAGCCGGCAGGGGGGCGGGGGGGGCACCUGCUUCCUGCUGGCGGCCAGCGACUACACCUGCUCCACCGACGGAGGCGUCCGGAAGACAGGUGCAGAGAACUGCAAAGAGGUUGUCUUUACUGGUUGCACACAAGCAGAGAGCAGCGCUCUUUCUUAAUGGACGGCGAGACCUCACCAGCAGGCACAAGGUAAUGUCAUCUCUAUGGCUUGCACUGAGACACCACAGAGGAUUACUGAGUCAAUAUUUUGUUUGGGAGAGAUAUUGUUGCGGAUGGAACUAAUUGGGAAAACUGAUGCCACUCUGACUGGCCACAGCACAGAACAGCGUUACAAACAGACUGUGCCCUGGACAUUGGUCAACCACAGCUGUUGCCUGGACAACUGUCAGAGGAGGAUUCUGAGUUCUGGGAAUUCUGGGAUCACUGGGCCGGGGAUUCAUGGCUCAUAGCCCCCGGAAAGACUACUGUUGCUACUAACGUGAAAUCGUGGCUACGAUGGACACACCCCGAACACAAGGAUUAAAUAUAUAUUUGUAUAUAUCAGCUCAAAAUACAGGGGCAAACAAACCCUUCUCAUGCAGUCUUCUAAUGGAAAGAGUCAAGUCUUUGUGGACUCUUUGCCAUCCAUGGAAUCUCUGCAGUACGUGUAUUAAAACAUUUAAAGCCAAGAUAGAUCUGGAUCAAUGGUUUAUCUAUAAAUCUAUAGAUCCCAUAGACAGGGAAACAUAUGUGCUAAGAUUAAUAAAUGUGACAAAUAGUCAAUACUUUUAUUUUCUUUAGUAUUCUGGUGGAUUCAUUGCUGUGUCUUUUUGUUUUCAAUUAUGCAAUAGCCACGACAGUACACUAUAGACAAAGAUGAAUAUGGUGUUGAAUAUGGUGUUGGUUGACAGAUUUAAUCUUAGCCUUGGGAAGAUAAUCAUGUUCUUGGCUAACUGUUAGAACAGAAUGUCACACGCAGACACACUUUAAAAAAAGGAUUCCCAGUGUGUCAUUUGGACUGCAUUAAUAUUUUGUUUGUUCAUGUCCUAUACUUCAUUUUCACACUGUGAGAAUGUCUUCACCUUGCUACAUCAGGCAACCUGUGCCAUUAGUAUCCCUGAUCUAUCAUCCUUUCAUAGAUAAACAUAGUCUGUGUGCAAUCUGCACUCAGUGAGCACUUUAUUAAGUAUUUUUUUAGACUUAUCUUUUAGACUUAUUGGACUUCUGCUGCUGUAGCCUGUCCACUUAGAAGUGUUGUGUGUUCAGAGAUGCUCUUCCGUAUACCACCGUUGUAAUGUGUGGUUAUUUGCGUUACUGUCACCUUCCUGUCAGCUUUGACCAGUCUGGUCCUUCUCCUCUGACCUCUCUCAUUAACAAGGCGUUUUUGCCCACAGAACUGCUGCUCACUGGAUGUUUUUUGUUCGCACCAUUCUCUACAAACUCUAGAGACUGAAAUUCCAGGAGAUCAGCAGAUAAGAUGCUCAAACCACCCUGUCUGGCACCAACAAUCAAGUAACUUAGAUUCCCAUUCUGACACUUGGUCUGAUCAACAGCUGAACCUCUUGACAACGUCUACAUGCUUUUAUGUAUCUUGUUGCGCCCACAUGAUUGGCUGAUUAAAUAUUUGCAUUAACAAGUUGGUGUACAGGUCUACCUAAUAAAUGGCUCACUGAGUGUAUAUAAUGUCUUUUAUGGUUCCAUUGAUGAAAUGGAUGAAAUACGGAUGAGGCCUACGAGGUGGAAAGAAAUGUCCUUAAGCUUUUUGUUCUGUGCCAUUCACGUGUCUUUGAUGGAAUUUCAUGAACAGCAUUGAAUCUGUCUGUUGGUAAAAAAUAAUGAAGAUAUGCAAAAAGUUGGAAUAUUUUGGAACCUUUUAAACUGUCAAUAGAGUUAUAGUUUACACAAUAAAAAUAUGCAAAAAAUGUAGGGUAGAACGCACUCAUACAGGUUGGACCAAUUCUCUGUUCUACUCGUUGAGCCCUAUCUUGAUUACAGAAAAAUGCAAAUGAAGUUUGUUACUGGUGUUCUGGAGUGACCCAAACCUACACACAGGCAUAAAUGACGAGUUUGCUGAGGUUGGUAUUUUCAUUCCUGUUUUUCAACCGUUGUGUUGGGAGGUUUAAAUGAGGUCUGAGUCAGUAGUUUGGGGGUGUAAAAUCCUGCAGAGACACCCACAUACAGAUAUUACAAUAUCAAUAACAGUUUAGUCUGCAUUUGGCCAACAUCUGUUUUUCUGUUGUGUUUGCAAACAAACAGAACACCCAAACAUGGAAUGACUAAUAAUGAAACAUACAUUAUGUGAGAUAAUUCACAUCAGUAAUUCUGUUGUGUCAGUGCCCUGCAUUCAUGAUACCUUCAUAGAGAGGUUAUGUAGAGUUCAAGUUAAACUCUAAAGCUCCUUUCACACAUUGCUGUGUUCGAUUGUCCAUGUUGGGCAGUUGUUUUCCCCAGUCACACAUACAGUAGGUCUCCUACACAGAAAGUGUGUUCAUUUAAGACAUACAAGACAUGACCAUUCUGGACAGAUUAGGCUAGGCAGGAUGUCUACCUGCCCAUCCAAUGUAACUGACGUAAUGAAAGUUAGUUUGUCUUUAAAACAGCUGGGUAUUUUGCUGAGUAAUAGUUUUGCCACCGAUGUAUAUCCUACCAACACAACACAGUGUCCAAAUAGCUGACAUUAGAUUAAUAUAGGGAAGCAUGGUUUAUGAGUUACAUGCAGAGUUGUUUUUGGUAAAAUGAAAUUAAACUUCUGUUAGCCAUGCUAAUAGCUAGCCAUUGGCAUGAGGCCUACAAGCGCUAGGCAAUUUGAUACAAUGAGUAAAUAAACAACAUAAAGCUUGUGUGGAUUUAACUUAAUGUGAUUUUUAUGUCAAAGCAAGGACAGUGACCCUUCAUUCCAUUCCAUUCCCUCAAGUUCCCCCCUGCCGUAAAAUCCAGCUAUGUCAGCUUGACCAACUUGAAAAUUGAGCUGGUCCAGCUGGUGAUAAGCUGGUCAACCAGCAUGUUAGUGCUAGAACUGUAGCUUGUCUUGUUUCAAAACAUUGCUUGAUCUGGUCAAACCAUGUCAAGCUGGGAGCUGGUCUGAACUGGUCAACCAGCUACCAGCCGAUUCAAAACCUAGUUUGAGCUGUUUAUUUCAACAGGGCCCUCACAAAAUCAAACAAUCAAGCUCCAAUAUUUUACAUGUAAGUCUUAUUCAUGCAAGAAUUGUUGAGAGGGCAGAUUUUUUCAUUUUUUUUUAACUAGACCGAUAUUUCCGUAAAUCCUUUGAGAUACUGACCUAGAAAACUUGAGGAAAGCCCAACACAGAAAACCCACUCCUGCUCCUCUUCACACACAAUGCCGACCAGGAAAAUUGCUGGAAUAUUUAUGGAUUAAGAUGAGUGUGUCUAAAAGGGGUUUAAGAUGCAUUAUGUAUAUGGUCCACUCUAACAUCCUUUCACAGAUGACCAUGAGUACUACAGAUUGUCUAACCCAUUAAACAUGUGUUUCUAUUGUA